GUGGGGAAUAUUGGACAAUGGGGGCAACCCUGAUCCAGCCAUGCCGCGUGAGUGAUGAAGGCCUUCGGGUUGUAAAGCUCUUUUGGUGGGGACGAUGAUGACGGUACCCACAGAAUAAGCUCCGGCUAACUUCGUGCCAGCAGCCGCGGUAAUACGAAGGGAGCUAGCGUUGUUCGGAAUUACUGGGCGUAAAGGGCGCGUAGGCGGUCAGGCAAGUCAGGUGUGAAAGCCCUGGGCUCAACCCGGGAAUUGCGCUUGAUACUACUUGGCUUGAAUUCGGGAGAGGUUGGUGGAAUUCCCAGUGUAGAGGUGAAAUUCGUAGAGAUUGGGAAGAACACCCGUGGCGAAGGCGGCCAACUGGACCGACAUUGACGCUGAGGCGCGAAAGCGUGGGGAGCAAACAGGAUUAGAAACCCUUGUAGUCC
This 425-nucleotide ribosomal RNA is filed under the name uncultured bacterium. RNAcentral's name for it is "partial 16S ribosomal RNA". It matches the Rfam family "Bacterial small subunit ribosomal RNA", at positions 354 to 796 of the family's 1533-position model. The record is from RNAcentral.